UACAGAGACCUCAAGCGUUAUUCGGAAUCAUUGGGCGUAAAGCGUACCGAUAGGUGGUUGAUUAAGUCUUGGGUAAAAGCCAGAAGCUUAACUUCUGAGUUUGCUUAAGAUACUAAUCAGCUAGAGGGGCAAAUAGGAAGCUGGAACGAGCGGUGUAGUAGUGAAAUGCGUUGAUAUCGCUCGGAACACCGAAAGCGUAGGCAGGCUUCUGGGUGCCACCUGACACUGCUAGGACGAAAGCGUGGGGAGCGAAUGGG
This 257-nucleotide ribosomal RNA is filed under the name uncultured bacterium. RNAcentral describes it as "partial 16S ribosomal RNA". It matches the Rfam family "Bacterial small subunit ribosomal RNA", at positions 524 to 776 of the family's 1533-position model. The record is from RNAcentral.